RNAcentral lists this long non-coding RNA (1637 nucleotides) under Nicotiana benthamiana. RNAcentral describes it as "long non-coding RNA (NBEN_LNC039963)". The record is from RNAcentral. Lineage: Eukaryota; Viridiplantae; Streptophyta; Magnoliopsida; Solanales; Solanaceae.
UAAUCUAAAUUAGAGUGGGAAUGAUGCCUGAACUCAAUGAAAGCCUUUUAAAACUCCAAGAUUUAUACAUUAGCCUAAAAGCCAACACCAUAAUCAACAGCCUCCCAUGAACAGUCCAACAGAAGCACAAUAAAUGAUAUUUUCCAUUAGAUUAAGUUUCCUGCUUAAACAAACACGUCACAGCAAAUUUAAUUACAACAUUAUCAAAUCCAGUAAGCAAAACCAGUGAUUUCCUAUCUAACAACAACAUUCUUAACUGAGAGCAGGAAUCAAGGUAAUCCACAUAGCAAAACUAGAUAUGAAAGCAAAACCAAAACUCAGCAGGAAUUCCAUUUGCUUCACAAUCAAGACAAGUUCAAAGGUGUGUACCUAAAUGUUUGAUAAAAAAUACUCCAAAGAAAAAACAAAUAAAGGCAGAAAAUGGUGGAAGGAAAUCCCAGAAAACAUCGACAAAGUCUGUUGGAGUUUGAAAAUAGCUUUUGCAUCUUUCUUUUUACUUCAGUUUUUUUUCUUUGUUGCUUUCCUCGUAAAAUUUGAAGCUCGGAUCAGGAGGUCUAAAACUUCAGCAAACAAUAACUCAAAAUAACAGGAAUAAUGGCUGCCAGUAGUCAGCAAUGCAGCAACUCAAACAGCAUUCAAGCCCAAACAGGCAUUCACAUUUUCAUAAAAAGACCAUUCAAGCGGACGUGCAAACUCAGAAAACCAACUCAAACCUCAACCAAGCAUCCUAAAAUUGUUCAAUGAUGUUUUACUUCUCAGGUUUCCAGCAAUCGAUUCAAACAAACAAAACAUUUCAACUCACGCAAAAUAGAAAAAUAAGAGAGUUUUGGAAGUGAACCUGAAAAUACACUUUUGAUUAAUACAAUUGAAGGAUUACAACGAUUCUUAGAGGAAGCGAGUCCAAACAGAGAUCGCAAUGAACUCACGAGUCAGCAGCUAAGCGAACAGCUUUGGAGCAACUCGAAACUAACAGCAUUCAGACGACUCCUAUUAACUCAAAAUACGAUUAAGAACAAUGAACUCACACUUCAAGUUCAAACCAGAUUCACCAUAAGAAUGACAACGUCUGAACUUCAAGAUGAAAAGAACAAAGGGCUAACAUUGAAGCGAACAUGAAUUUUUUUUAUUUUGUCUUUGGAAUUAAACCAAGACGGUUUCGGAUGAAAAAAAGAAAAGAAAAUGCUUCAUUCGAAUUCUCAUUUCCCGGUGACCUCUCCACUCCAAAAAUCCCCCCUCCUUCUUAAGCAAGAACUUACCUUAUAUAUGAAACUCAGAAAAUCUCGAACCUUUUAUUCCUUUCUUUUCCAAGAAAUCCGCCAAAUUCCAUCCCUAAAUCUGAAAAGAACAACCCCCAAUCUCACAUAGAACGAAACCUAGACAAAUGGAAGGCGUGGAUGCGAUUUCACACAUCCAACCACUCCCAUUUACCCAAAGUUCAUCCCAAGAGAUCAAGAGCGCGUGAGAAAGGGAUGAAACCGAAAAUAUUCUGUCAGAGACCGUUACACAUAUGGUGGCGAGGAAAGAGGGGGAACUCGUGAGGUGAUACUGGGGCUCACUCGCCUGAAUUUGGCGAUUUCGGAAAGGGAUUUGGUUGUUUGGGGAAGAAGAACAGUGCUUGCGCUAAUAGGUAUUAAAGA